RNAcentral lists this long non-coding RNA (491 nucleotides) under Oryza brachyantha (malo sina). RNAcentral's name for it is "long non-coding RNA (OBRA_LNC001484)". The record is from RNAcentral. Lineage: Eukaryota; Viridiplantae; Streptophyta; Magnoliopsida; Poales; Poaceae.
UCUUUUCGGUUUCUUGAUAUUCAGGAAUAAACCAGACGCCGGUUCGCAACAUGUAUAUUUUUGUUGAAGAUUUGCUCCGGUCCAACAAAAAGUACCUCGAAAUACCGGUAUCUUGAGGUACCAAAUCAUUUUUCACCGUUGGAUCUAGCUGAGUAGGAUGUGCACGGUUAGAUCCAACGAUCAGAAACGAUUUGGUACCACGAGGUACCGGUACCACCGGAAUCUCGAGGUACUUUUUAUUACUUUUUGUUGGACUGAAAUAAAUCUCUUUUGCUGUAUUUGGAGAUCUGUUCUCUUUUUUCAGUUAAAGUACACAGGCCGUACAUGAAACUAGUAAGGCCAGAAUGUUCAUUUCAGUGAAAACAAGUACUCCUAUCUCCUUAUGUAAAACACUACUCUAUACCAUACUGGAGUCAGGUCAAUACCAUGAGAACCUUAUGAGUUCAUCACAAAACAUUGAUUGUAAAUUAAAUGCACCAAUAGAGAUCGAC